AUAUUGUACAAUGGGGGCAACCCUGAUCCAGCCAUUCCGCGUGUUUGAAGAAGGUCUUCGGAUUGUAAAGCACUUUAAGUUGGGAGGAAGGGCUUUAGGCUAAUACCCUGAAGUUGUGACGUUACUAACAGAAUAAGCACCGGCUAACUCUGUGCCAGCAGCCGCGGUAAUACAGAGGGUGCAAGCGUUAAUCGGAAUUACUUGGCCUAAAGGGCGCGUAGGUAGGUCAGUAAGGUUGGUGAGAAAACCCCGGGCUUAACCGGGGAACUGCUUUCAUAACUGCUGAGCUAGAGUACGGUAGCGGGUAGUGGAAUUUCCUGUGUAGCGGUGAAAUGCGUAAAUAUAGGAAAGAACACCAGUGACGAAGGCCACUACCUGGACUGAUACUGACACUGAGGUGCAAAAGCGUGAGGAGCAAAC
Molecule: ribosomal RNA, 420 nt
Filed under: uncultured bacterium
Lineage: Bacteria
Description: partial 16S ribosomal RNA
Rfam family: Bacterial small subunit ribosomal RNA
Source: RNAcentral